AGUGAACGCUGGCGGUAGGCCUAACACAUGCAAGUCGAACGGCAGCACAGUAAGAGCUUGCUCUUACGGGUGGCGAGUGGCGGACGGGUGAGGAAUACAUCGGAAUCUACUUUUUCGUGGGGGAUAACGUAGGGAAACUUACGCUAAUACCGCAUACGACCUACGGGCGAAAGCAGGGGAUCUUCGGACCUUGCGCGAUUGAAUGAGCCGAUGUCGGAUUAGCUAGUUGGCGGGGUAAAGGCCCACCAAGGCGACGAUCCGUAGCUGGUCUGAGAGGAUGAUCAGCCACACUGGAACUGAGACACGGUCCAGACUCCUACGGGAGGCAGCAGUGGGGAAUAUUGGACAAUGGGCGGAAGCCUGAUCCAGCCAUACCGCGUGGGUGAAGAAGGCCUUCGGGUUGUAAAGCCCUUUUGUUGGGAAAGAAAAGCAGCAGGUUAAUACCCCGCUGUUCUGACGGUACCCAAAGAAUAAGCACCGGCUAACUUCGUG
RNAcentral lists this ribosomal RNA (492 nucleotides) under uncultured bacterium. RNAcentral describes it as "partial 16S ribosomal RNA". It matches the Rfam family "Bacterial small subunit ribosomal RNA", at positions 29 to 507 of the family's 1533-position model. The record is from RNAcentral.